UCAAACUGGAGAUGGCGACCGGCGCACGGGUGAGUAACACGUAUCCAACCUGCCGAUAACUCGGGGAUAGCCUUUCGAAAGAAAGAUUAAUACCCGAUGGCAUAAUAGAACCGCAUGGUUUGAUUAUUAAAGAAUUUCGGUUAUCGAUGGGGAUGCGUUCCAUUAGUUUGUUGGCGGGGUAACGGCCCACCAAGACUACGAUGGAUAGGGGUUCUGAGAGGAAGGUCCCCCACAUUGGAACUGAGACACGGUCCAAACUCCUACGGGAGGCAGCAUG
RNAcentral lists this ribosomal RNA (277 nucleotides) under uncultured bacterium. RNAcentral's name for it is "partial 16S ribosomal RNA". It matches the Rfam family "Bacterial small subunit ribosomal RNA", at positions 76 to 353 of the family's 1533-position model. The record is from RNAcentral.